GUGGGGAAUAUUGGACAAUGGGCGAAAGCCUGAUCCAGCCAUGCCGCGUGUGUGAAGAAGGUCUUCGGAUUGUAAAGCACUUUAAGUUGGGAGGAAGGGCAGUAAGUUAAUACCUUGCUGUUUUGACGUUACCGACAGAAUAAGCACCGGCUAACUUCGUGCCAGCAGCCGCGGUAAUACGAAGGGUGCAAGCGUUAAUCGGAAUUACUGGGCGUAAAGCGCGCGUAGGUGGUUUUGUAAGUUGGAGGUGAAAUCCCCGGGCUCAACCUGGGAACUGCCUCCCAAAAUGCAUGACUAGAGUACGGUAGAGGGUAGUGGAAUUUCCUGUGUAGCGGUGAAAUGCGUAGAUAUAGGAAGGAACACCAGUGGCGAAGGCGACUACCUGGACUGAUACUGACACUGAGGUGCGAAAGCGUGGGGAGCAAACAGGAUUAGAAACCCCUGUAGUCC
RNAcentral lists this ribosomal RNA (450 nucleotides) under uncultured bacterium. Its description in RNAcentral is "partial 16S ribosomal RNA". It matches the Rfam family "Bacterial small subunit ribosomal RNA", at positions 354 to 796 of the family's 1533-position model. The record is from RNAcentral.